RNAcentral lists this ribosomal RNA (1553 nucleotides) under Elephantulus myurus (eastern rock elephant shrew). RNAcentral's name for it is "16S ribosomal RNA". It matches the Rfam family "Bacterial large subunit ribosomal RNA". Lineage: Eukaryota; Metazoa; Chordata; Mammalia; Macroscelidea; Macroscelididae. The record is from RNAcentral.
GAACUAGACCUAGCUCUCAACCUCAAAUCACUACUACAAUUGUUAAUAAAACAAAACAUUUACUAGACUAAGUAUAGGAGAUAGAAAAAUUAUAAAGACGCAAUAGAGUUAGUACCGUAAGGGAAAGAUGAAAGACAACUUAAAGUACUAAACAGCAGAGAUUCCCCCUCUUACCUUUUGCAUAAUGGACUAACUAGAAACCCUUGACAAAGAGCCCUGAAGCCAAACCCCCCGAAACCAGACGAGCUACUUACGGACAAUUGUCAGAAUGCACUCAUCUAUGUGGCAAAAUAGUGAGAUGAUCCUUAAGUAGAGGUGAAAAGCCAACCGAGCCUGGUGAUAGCUGGUUAUCCAAAAAAAGAAUCUAAGUUCAACCCAAAGCAUGCCUUUAAAACUCAUAAUUUUACUGCAAGCUCUGGAGCUACUCAAUAGAGGUACAGCUCUAUUGAACUAGGAUACAACCUGUAAAGGAGAGUAACAAUAAUAACUCAACAUAGUUGGCCUAAAAGCAGCCACCAAUUAAGAAAGCGUUAAAGCUCAACCCUAAAUAGCACACUAAUCCCUACAAUAACAACUUAACUCCCUAAAUAAUAUUGGAUUAUUCUAUUAAUUUAUAGAAGAAAUAAUGUUAGUAUGAGUAACAAGAAACAAUUCUCCGUGCACAAGCUUAUAUCAGAACGGAUGCCCGCUGAUAGUUAACGACCAAAUAAAAUUAACCCACCUAUAGACUAAUUAUUCCUAAUAUCGUUAACCCAACACAGGAGUGCAACCCGGAAAGAUUAAAAGAGUAAGAAGGAACUCGGCAAACACGAAUUCCGCCUGUUUACCAAAAACAUCACCUCUAGCAUUACUAGUAUUAGAGGCACUGCCUGCCCGGUGACAUUAGUUAAACGGCCGCGGUACUCUGACCGUGCAAAGGUAGCAUAAUCAUUUGUUCUUUAAUUAAGGACUAGUAUGAACGGCAAGACGAGAAUUCAACUGUCUCCUUACUCCAAUCAGUGAAAUUGACCUUCCUGUGAAGAGGCAGGAAUAACUAUAUAAGACGAGAAGACCCUAUGGAGCUUUAAUUUACCUAUCUACAAGUCUAUAAUAAAAUCUACUGAUACAACAUAAGACUUCCUGGAUAGAAGAUUUCGGUUGGGGUGACCUCGGAGCAUAAAACAACCUCCGAAUGAUAAUCUACUAUGAUCAACAAAUCUAAGUUACUAUAUCCAAUUGACCCAAUAAAUUGAUCAACGGAACAAGUUACCCUAGGGAUAACAGCGCAAUCCUAUUCUAGAGUCCAUAUCGACAAUAGGGUUUACGACCUCGAUGUUGGAUCAGGACAUCCCAAUGGUGCAGCAGCUAUUAAAGGUUCGUUUGUUCAACGAUUAAAGUCCUACGUGAUCUGAGUUCAGACCGGAGUAAUCCAGGUCGGUUUCUAUCUAUAACUAAUUUCUCCCAGUACGAAAGGAUAAGAGAAAUAGGGCCUACUCCACACGAGCGCCCUAACUUAAAUUUAUGAAAAAAUCUAAAUAUAUAAAAUCGCAUAAUAUUACCCAAAAUAAGGGUAC